RNAcentral lists this ribosomal RNA (253 nucleotides) under uncultured bacterium. Its description in RNAcentral is "partial 16S ribosomal RNA". It matches the Rfam family "Bacterial small subunit ribosomal RNA", at positions 524 to 776 of the family's 1533-position model. The record is from RNAcentral.
UACGUAGGGGGCAAGCGUUGUCCGGAAUCAUUGGGCGUAAAGCGCGUGUAGGCGGCUACGUAAGUCUGCUGUGAAAGUCGGAGGCUCAACCUUCGAAAGCCGGUGGAUACUGCGUGACUAGAGUACGGAAGAGGAGAGUGGAAUUCCUGGUGUAGCGGUGAAAUGCGCAGAUAUCAGGAGGAACACCAACGGCGAAGGCAGCUCUCUGGGACGUUACUGACGCUGAGGAGCGAAAGCCAGGGGAGCAAACGGG